This 279-nucleotide ribosomal RNA is filed under the name uncultured bacterium. Its description in RNAcentral is "partial 16S ribosomal RNA". It matches the Rfam family "Bacterial small subunit ribosomal RNA", at positions 506 to 784 of the family's 1533-position model. The record is from RNAcentral.
UGCCAGCAGCCGCGGUAAUACGGAGGGGGUUAGCGUUGUUCGGAAUUACUGGGCGUAAAGCGCACGUAGGCGGAUUAGUAAGUUAGAGGUGAAAUCCCAGGGCUCAACCCUGGAACUGCCUUUAAUACUGCUAGUCUUGAGUUCGAGAGGGGUAAGUGGAAUUCCAAGUGUAGAGGUGAAGUUCGUAGAUAUUUGGAGGAACACCAGUGGCGAAGGCGGCUCACUGGCUCGAUACUGACGCUGAGGUACGAAAGUGUGGGGAGCGAACAGGAUUAGAUA